Molecule: long non-coding RNA, 1080 nt
Filed under: Salmo salar (Atlantic salmon)
Lineage: Eukaryota; Metazoa; Chordata; Actinopteri; Salmoniformes; Salmonidae
Description: lncRNA (ENSSSAG00000102756.1)
Source: RNAcentral
UGACAUCUCAUGGGAAAGGGAGGGUUAGUUACAGCAAAUCCCCUAAUCCUUCUCAUGGAGACACACUUAUGGGAAUAGGAUAAUUGUGUUAACCAUUGUAUCAUAAUGUAGGAGGUAUAAUAGAAUGUAGGAGGUGUAAUAUAAUGUAGGAGGUAUAAUAGAAUGUAGGUGGUAUAAUAGAAUGUCGGAGGUAUAUCAGAAUGUAGAAGGUAUAAUAGAAUGUAGGUGGUAUAAUAGAAUGUAGGAGGUAUAUCAGAAUGUAGGAAGUAUAAUAUAAUGUAGGAGGUAUAUCAAAAUGUAGGAGGUAUAAUAGAAUGUAGGUGGUAUAAUAUAUUGUAGGAGGUAUAUCAGAAUGUAGGAGGUAUAAUAGAAUGUAGGAGGUAUAAUAGAAUGUAGGUGGUAUAAUAUAUUGUAGGAGGUAUAUCAGAAUGUAGGAGGCAUAUCAGAAUGUAGGAGGUAUAUCAGAAUGUAGAAUGUAUAAUAGAAUGUAGAAAGUAUAAUAGAAUGUAGUAGGUAGUGUAAAGGGUCCUAUGUGUGGCUGGUGUAGAGAGUCAGGCGCAGGACAGCAGAUAUGAGUAAUCAACGUACUUUUACUUAUAAUGUCAAAUAUACAAAGUAACAAAUACACGCACACCAUGACAGACCGAAAAUACAAUAAACAAUCACUCACAAAAACCCAUGGGGGAACAGAGGGUUAAAUAAUGAAACAGUAAUUGUGGGAUUGAAAUCAGGUGUGUAAAACAAAGACAAAACAAAUGGAAAAUGAAAAGUGGAUCGGCGGUGGCUAGAAAGCCGGUGAUUUCGACCGCCAACCGCCGUCCGAACAACGAGAGGGACCGACUUGUGCAUUCAGAAAGUAUUCAGAACCUUUCCCUUUUCCACAUUUUGUUACGUUACUGUCACAAGUAUCUUCGUCUUCUGACGAUAAUGCGAAAUCGUCAUCAGAAAAGGUAGAUCAAUACGCAGCAGGUGUGCAGUUGUUCAUUUUGAACAUUUAAUUAAAUCAACACGAAUACAAAAACAACAAACAAGAAAACGAACGAUAAACUGACAGUCUGCAAAGCAUAGGCUCAACACAGA